RNAcentral lists this ribosomal RNA (481 nucleotides) under uncultured bacterium. RNAcentral describes it as "partial 16S ribosomal RNA". It matches the Rfam family "Bacterial small subunit ribosomal RNA", at positions 28 to 507 of the family's 1533-position model. The record is from RNAcentral.
GAUGAACGCUGGCGGCGUGCCUAACACAUGCAAGUCGAGAGAAGCGCUUAAAUUAGAUUUCUUCGGAAUGACGAUUUUUGUGACUGAGCGGCGGACGGGUGAGUAACGCGUGGGUAACCUGCCUCAUACAGGGGGAUAACAGUUAGAAAUGACUGCUAAUACCGCAUAAGACCCCAGCUUCGCAUGAAGCGGUGGUAAAAACUCCGGUGGUAUGAGAUGGACCCGCGUCUGAUUAGCUAGUUGGUAAGGUAACGGCUUACCAAGGCGACGAUCAGUAGCCGACCUGAGAGGGUGACCGGCCACAUUGGGACUGAGACACGGCCCAGACUCCUACGGGAGGCAGCAGUGGGGAAUAUUGCAUAAUGGGGGAAACCCUGAUGCAGCGACGCCGCGUGAAGGAUGAAGUAUUUCGGUAUGUAAACUUCUAUCAGCAGGGAAGAAAGUGACGGUACCUGACUAAGAAGCCCCGGCUAACUACGUG